Molecule: long non-coding RNA, 1840 nt
Organism: Sinocyclocheilus anshuiensis
Lineage: Eukaryota; Metazoa; Chordata; Actinopteri; Cypriniformes; Cyprinidae
Exons: 2
Source: RefSeq, a predicted model, not a curated record
UCUCUACAGGCUUUUUGUUUUUUUUCCUCUGACUCACAAAAAAAAACCCUCCCCCCCUGCUACACCUGCAGUCAGGUGCAGCAGAGACCGGUUCCAACCGGAAGCCUCCUUUGAGAGCGCAGUGAGAUUGUACACAUAUGUGGGCAGCGAUUUGCCCCUUCCUUUGGAGAAGGAACAGGUUUAACCAGUCAUGAGAACUUGGGUAUUCCCGCAACAAUCUAUCUUUUUUCUUUUAUUCUUUGUGGGUAUGGUUUGGCUUUCAAAAGUGCAACACCACUUCACUUUUAGUAUCAAGAUGAAUUAAGAAAUUCUCUUUAAGAAAUCACUUUAUUAGGAACGCAUCACCUGAAAAAAUUUAUAUUAAAAUCUUACAGGAUAGCCUAUACAAAAUGGCUUCCUGGUGUUGUUACCUCACCUUGCAGUUUUUUUUGUUUUUUUUUCACUUUGCUUGCUCCCUGUUAAAAUUCAUGGUUCAUCACUAACAGCAAUACUACAGCAAGAUAUUAAAUAGGCUAUAUCAAACUUUUGUUUGCAUAACAUAAAAACUCACUGAUAAGAGUCUGUUUUACACAAGCUAAAUCAACUGACUGAUAUGGUAAUUGGUUAAAUGACAUUAGUGUGUGUAGACACCGAAGUGAGCCAAACGACUGCUUUCCAUUAAUCUCAGGUGUUGAGAGUGAAGAGGGGGAUGAAAUAAGGUGUUUGGGGUACAGCUCAGGGACUUUAAGUCCAUGCGAACAGAAAUAAGAAUCAGCAAAUGACCUUUCUCAGACAGAAUAACAGCAAAACCAAAGUUGUGAACCUAUCACACCUACAACCACUCAGGUCGUUGCCUUCUACAGCCCCAGCAGCUGCUAUUGGCCAGCAAAUGCAUGAUGUCAAAGAGGAGAUCACUUCUCUUCUGUAGGACAAACGGGCACCUUUUGGAAGCUGGUUGACCAAUGUUUUACUCAAACACACACAUAGGUAACAACUUACGGAGUGUGGUGUGUGUAGACUAAUAAGAUGGCUUUGGAAUUACAAAGAGAUCCUGGAUGUCACAGCACUUCCUCUUGGUUAUGUGUCAAUUGUGAAAGUUGGGUCAUCAGUCAACAUUUCCAGGCAGAUUAAAAUGCCCAGACUUGACCGAACCAUUAAAAUGAUCAACUGUGGUGUGCAAGCCAGUGCGUUUACACAUGUGUGCCCAGACAGCCACACACACAUAAAUAAAUAAUGGAAGCAGAUGUUCAUUUCACAUCGUUCUGUCUCUUUCACACUCUAAUACUCACGUCUAAAUGCACACAAACACUGUGUCAUUGAUCGGCUCGCCACAAUUUAAAUUUGCAUAUUAAAAUCUCUCAUCUGAGCUGCUCGAACGAGCCGAACGUUCGCAGGAAAUGGAGUAAAUAAUUCAAGCAAUCAUGGCUGGACUCCAUGUAAUCCCCUGUAAGAAUUCCAUCAAAGAGCUAUCAAACAAUUGCCCCGAAUCUCCACUCGUUUUCCAAUGAUACGGAUGCUGCUUCAAGUCCACUGGCUAUUAAACAUGAAUAAAGUCGUCACAAGAGAAUUUAGUUCUUUUUUUUUUUUUUUUUUUUGAUCUUACAGCCUGCAGGUGUAUCCACAAUUAAACCAAAAACAGAUGUGUUUGGGUUGUGGAUUCAAUCUAAACUCAUUAUCAUCAUCAUCGGGUUGUUUCUGAGAAUAUCAGACAGUGGAAGGAAGUGGAACUACAGAGUUAUGUUUAAUUUAAAAAGCCACCCAAUCACAAAUUCUGCACAACGCCAUUGGCUUCCCUGGCAGCGGCCCAGCAGAAAUCAAUCUACACCUGCUGACCAAUAGAACUGGAUCCUCCUUGAAUGGU